CAGCAGCCACGGGAAUACGUAGGGUGCGAGCGUUAAUCGGAAUUACUGGGCGUAAAGCGUGCGCAGGCGGUUCGUUAAGACAGAUGUGAAAUCCCCGGGCUUAACCUGGGAACUGCAUUUGUGACUGGCGAGCUAGAGUAUGGCAGAGGGGGGUAGAAUUCCACGUGUAGCAGUGAAAUGCGUAGAGAUGUGGAGGAAUACCGAUGGCGAAGGCAAUCCCCUGGGCCUGCACUGACGCUCAUGCACGAAAGCGUGGGGAGCAAACAGGAUUAGAUACCCCGGUAGUCCCUGUCUCUUAUAC
This 301-nucleotide ribosomal RNA is filed under the name uncultured bacterium. RNAcentral's name for it is "partial 16S ribosomal RNA". It matches the Rfam family "Bacterial small subunit ribosomal RNA", at positions 509 to 807 of the family's 1533-position model. The record is from RNAcentral.